AACGAACGCUGGCGGCAUGCCUAACACAUGCAAGUCGAACGAGACCUUCGGGUCUAGUGGCGCACGGGUGCGUAACGCGUGGGAACCUGCCUUUAGGUUCGGAAUAACUCAGAGAAAUUUGAGCUAAUACCGGAUGAUGUCUUCGGACCAAAGAUUUAUCGCCUUUAGAUGGGCCCGCGUUGGAUUAGCUAGUUGGUGGGGUAAAGGCCUACCAAGGCGACGAUCCAUAGCUGGUCUGAGAGGAUGAUCAGCCACACUGGGACUGAGACACGGCCCAGACUCCUACGGGAAGCAGCAGUGGGGAAUAUUGGACAAUGGGCGAAAGCCUGAUCCAGCAAUGCCGCGUGAGUGAUGAAGACCUUAGGGUUGUAAAGCUCUUUUACCCGAGAUGAUAAUGACAGUAUCGGGAGAAUAAGCUCCGGCUAACUCCGUG
RNAcentral lists this ribosomal RNA (433 nucleotides) under uncultured bacterium. RNAcentral's name for it is "partial 16S ribosomal RNA". It matches the Rfam family "Bacterial small subunit ribosomal RNA", at positions 29 to 507 of the family's 1533-position model. The record is from RNAcentral.